CCUGCCUGUAUUUUCCUCAAAGCCUGCCCGGACACCUAACUCUCUCCCCUCCGUGAGUUUCUCCCGUUUAUACGCGGCGUUGAGGCAUUUUCGUGAGGCCCGGAGUCGGUGUUUUUUCACCGGGAACAGUCCACCAUCCACACGGACACACUGCUGAGGCUCAGCAGCAGCACCACGGUGACGAGCUCAAGCGCUGACACGGAAGUUUGUAAAGGAACUUUCAAAAUAAAAGCCCGGCACAAAAAUUAAGGAGAGUUAACACGGCUGGGAACGUCGUACUACGCAGUUAUGCUUUUAUAUUGAAGGUCAAAUUUAACUCAUCUCACUUUGGGAAACUUGGACCACAUAAAAUUACUGUUUGUGUGUGGUGCAUUGGUUCAGUACUGUCGUUACACAACCUCCAGGUGUUCUCAACAGUCAUCUACAUUUAACCGAUUUAAAAUUUUCUGUCUACUCUCGCAAAUCAUCUUUAUUUUACUUUGUCUAAUUUAUUUCAUUUUAAGAUACUAAACCAUUUUACUCUUGGUUCUCAGUUUGAAAGCAAAUAAAACCAGAGCAUGAUUGAAAAAUACUUACAUAAGUGAUUUUCGUUUUGCCACAUUUAUGUUUGCCAUUUAUUAUAUUACGCCAUUUGAAUUUCCCUCUAGGAUUAAUAAAGUAUCUAUCUAUCUAUCUAUCUAUCUAUCUAUCUAUCUAUCUAUCUAUCUAUCUAUCUAUCUAUCUUUUAUAUGUGUAUGGUACAAAUGAGAGAUUUGAAGUUUUCUAGGUAUAUAUACUGUUUAAAGUGCAUAUUUGUGUGUAUAUACGUGUAUAUAGGUAUGGAUUUAUAUAUGUAUAUAUAAGGUCUUUGAUUCAGUAUUAAUGAUUUGUUACAUAUUCAUGUUAGACUUUGGAGGUUUGGUUUCUUUUUGGCGACUUCAGAAAUCCUAAAAUUUUAGAGACAUGUAAAAGGUCAACAAAUAGGAAGGAAUGAGGGUAGGUACAAAUAAACGAAAAUAGCUUCUACCUACUCCUUUUCGAUCUCCAAAAAAUAGAGAAUUUCUUGUCUAAAAUUGUACUGUAUGUAUAUUUGAUCGAAUAAACAAUCUCUCUCUCUCAGAAAAAUAUUGCUCUUCAUGUCAUCACUAAGAACAUGUGAUGGCAAUGGCAGGUUAGACAUCAAUUUAAUCUUUUUACUGCCUCUGGCUGUACUGAUUGUCUCUCUUGAGAUCCAAAUAUGUAUCUUACUUUUUUUACACAACAAUGCUUUUUUUUUGUUUUUGUUUUUUUCCCCCCACAAUAACAAGUAAAUUGAAGUGGUUGUCUUGGAAUUUUAACCCACUCGUCUCACUAUUCAGGGUUUACAAGCUGAUUUUAUGGCAAUGAUUGAUACAUUUAAUUAUUUCAAGAUGAAAGCUUGUUUUCUCAUUAAAAAAAAAAAAAUCUUCACGUUUUGUCUCUUAGAAAAUAAAAGAAUGCCAUCCCGCAGCCUUUUUGAAUGGUUCAGUAAAACUUAAGGUAAAAGGAUAAAUUGUUCCAGCUUCUUUAACUUAAAAUUACACUGAUAACAGUUUUUGUAUUUUAUUAUAGACUGCUUGCUUGAACAAAAUAAAAACCAAAAAACCUGUAUCCAUUUUGGCCACUUGGGGGCAAAGUUAUACGCUUUAAAAAGGAUGUUUUCUCUCCUAUGGAGUUAAAUGUGGUGAAAUAAUUUUAAAAAGACACACUUUUCCUUAUCUAACAGACGUGCAACCACAUUAUUAGAUAUUAUAAGCCAGGUCAAAAAACAGGCAAGGAUCAAGACAUGACUAUGACUGUGGAAAAAUGUUGGAAUGUAAACUAUGAAGGAAAACGACCUGGCAACAAGACUGUGACACAAAUUGGAUUAUAUACACCAGGUAGUGGCAUGUGAUAAGACACAGGUGGGGAAGACACAAUCAGGAACCAAGGGGGGGCAGACAGGAAUGACAAUCUAUCACUGUUUGAUUGUAUAAAUUUACAUUGUUAGUGGUGAAACUGAAGCUGAUGCCUUACAGUGAAAUGAAACCAGAGCUGAAUUGUUCCCUGAGACAGACUCUGAAUGUUUAACUGACACUAUCAGAAAUCAGACCCCGCUAUCAGCUGUCAAGUUAAGUCUCUCUUUAAAGUCUGUUGACCUGGCUUCACAGGCUUUGUGUCUGCCUACAACAGGACAUCCUGAUUACAUUGAUAAACUACACAAUACGGGAACUAUAAAGCCUCUGUGAAGGUCAGGUCAAUAGCUCAUUAAGCUAAGUGUCAUUAUUGUUUGUUUUGCUUUGUAUUCGCUUGAUUAAUUUGACAAUAUGAAUUCUCUUAUGAAGGAGGAUUUAAUUCCCUGGAUUGUUAAAUGACUGUAAUCACAUUAAAGCUCCUGUGAGCUCUGAUUGCCCUGGUUUUAAACCCCAUCUGACUUUAAUUUUUUCAGGAUUCUGAGAUCAAAAUCAGAAUUUUGAGAUCAAAGUUGUUGUUGUUUUCAGAAUACUGAAAAGAAGAAGUCAGUUGACUUUAAUCUUUUAGCUCAAUUUUUAAUUUCCUCGAGGGAACCUUUCCUAAAGGAUCAAUAAAGUUCUAUCUAAUCUAUCUUAUUUCAUUAAAGUCUCUUGUUUUCAAGGUUCAAGUAUUUGUUUUUGAUACUCUUCACUGUUUCCAAAAAGUACAAAUUCUUAUCAAAGCCUCAGCUGAUGAUGUUAAAUGACUUCUCUGACCCACAGUGUGUGACACUAACAUUAUAUCCUCAUCACAAAGUAAAUGUUCUCACUAUCAGAUUACUCUGUUAGGUUGGGUGAUGUGAACUAAAUUUAUACAUAUAUAAUGGAUAAAAAAACACCUACACCAGCCGUAAAAACUGUCUUUAUGACUGAUAUAUUACUCACAAAAACCGGACAACUUAAAAACUUCAGUCUAAGUUGAAAUGUAUUCAUUUUAAUGUCCACCCUGGAGCUCUGAUCUUUUCCAUGACUCACAGAUGACAAAUAAGAAACAUGUCAUCCGUCAUAAGCUGCAACUAACCUCAUAAUAAAGUUUGAACAGCACUUCUCUCACAUCCAAGGAACAGUGCUUGUAUGUCUUAUCUGUGUCAGACAAGAGCUUAAGUUUCAAUUCCUCUGAAAACACAGAGAACAGGAAAUGCAGUGAAUCCUGAGGAUCAAAGCACAAAGACACGAUCAGAUCAUAAAGUGUGCCAAUAUAUCAAUUCUUUAUGGUUCUGGGGCCUUUUAUGUGACCCUAUGUUAAGUUUCACUAUGAAAGACUCUGACCUCAAUGGGAUUUCGAGGAAUGGCGAGCAGAUAUAAAUCUCUUUGCAUCCUGUCUGAUGUCGGAAAAUCAAGUGGUAACUCACGUCGUAACACAGAUGUUCAAAAUCAAGAUAGAUAACUAUACCCAUACCACAUCAGGCCAGAUACUAACCUAAUUUUAGGCUUUAAAAUAUUAGUUUUAUGUUUUUGUGGUAAUAAAAAGGAAUCAUUUUGACCUAUGGAUCUUUCCACUGGUAAGUUAGCCAUUUCAAUAUAUUACUUAGAUAUGAUUUGUGCGUGCAAAUAUCUUGGCACAAUCUCCACCCUUGACCAAAUUACCACCAUAAAACUAGAUACGGUGCACCAAAAUAGCACAUGAUGCUUUUACAUAGUCAUUGAUAAACCCAUAAAAAUCCAGUUCAAUAUCUUUAUUUAAUCACAUGAAGUCUUUCUUACCAUCUCCCAUGAGGGCAGAAGAAGAAUUAUUAGUCAUGGUUCUUGUUUGCUGUCUUUGUCAAAGCAGGCUGUAAACUCUUGUUUUUAACAUGAUCAUAACAUAAAAUGAAAAUUAAGUUUAAAACACAUCAUGUUUUAUUUUUGUACUUUCAGGAGAGACCCACACAAGCCAACACAAGGAACGCCAACAACUUGAGAAAGACCAUCUAUUUUGUGAUGUGUUUCCCAAAUAGUUACAUAUAAACUCUGAACUGUAGAAUAAAAAAUCACCAUUAUAACUUUAUCUCAUAUCAUAUAGCAACUAAUCAUCAAGGGACAUGUUUAAGGUGCUUCCCAAAAGCACAGAUGAUUCACUGACCUAUUUUUUGCUCACCUGUCCCUGUGGUUGAGUAUUCAGUAUAAAAAUAAUAUGUUCAUCACUAAAUCAAGCCUGCAAACAAUGUCUCUACUAAUUCUUAUUAUAGUCUUAUCUUUGUCUGAGUUCAGCAGCGUCACGUUACUUCUCCUUUUCGUCAUAAUUCAAGCUGCCACGACAAAACAACAGGCAACAGGCAAAUCUACAACCCAUUACUAAAUACAUUUUACUAAACACAACUACAAAUCACAAAUACAAAUCAGAAAAACAAGACAAAAAUCAUAAAACACAACAAGACAAAGAAAACUCCAACUGGAAAUCACAAAACGAAAAACAAAGCGCAGCAGCCACUCAAAAAGUACCAUACAACAAAGCAUCAAAAAUCAUGACAACUUAUCACAAAAUGCAAGACAAAAAUGAUCAAAUGCAACAAGAAAUCUAAAAUCCAAAAGCACAUAAAAACACAAUUCAAACCUACAACAAACCACCAAACACCCUAAC
Molecule: long non-coding RNA, 4548 nt
Filed under: Xyrichtys novacula (pearly razorfish)
Lineage: Eukaryota; Metazoa; Chordata; Actinopteri; Labriformes; Labridae
Source: RNAcentral